UUCAACUGGAGAGUUUGAUCCUGGCUCAGAACGAACGCUGGCGGCGUGCCUAACACAUGCAAGUCGAACGGGAUGAGGGAGCUUGCUCUUUCAUUU
This 96-nucleotide ribosomal RNA is filed under the name Deltaproteobacteria bacterium. RNAcentral's name for it is "partial 16S ribosomal RNA". It matches the Rfam family "Bacterial small subunit ribosomal RNA", at positions 1 to 93 of the family's 1533-position model. The record is from RNAcentral. Lineage: Bacteria; Pseudomonadati; Myxococcota; Myxococcia.